AGUCGAGCGAGCAAAGUUAAAGGAAUACUUCGGUAGGAAUUUAAUAGCGCGAGCGGCGGAUGGGUGAGUAACACGUGGGCAAUCUACCCUUUAGCUUGGGAUACCACUUGGAAACAGGUGCUAAUACCAAAUAAGAAGUAAGAGCGCAUGCUCAAGCUAUGAAAGGCGGCUUUCGAGCUGUCACUAAAGGAUGAGCCCGCGGUGCAUUAGCUAGUUGGUAAGGUAACGGCUUACCAAGGCAAUGAUGCAUAGCCGAGUUGAGAGACUGAUCGGCCACAUUGGGACUGAGACACGGCCCAAACUCCUACGGGAGGCAGCAGUAGGGAAUCUUCCACAAUGGACGCAAGUCUGAUGGAGCAACGCCGCGUGAGUGAAGAAGGUUUUCGGAUCGUAAAGCUCUGUUGUUGGUGAAGAAGGACAUGGAUAGUAACUGAUCUAUGUUUGACGGUAAUCAACCAGAAAGUCACGGCUAACUACGUGCCAGCAGCCGCGGUAAUACGUAGGUGGCAAGCGUUGUCCGGAUUUAUUGGGCGUAAAGCGAACGCAGGCGGGAGAACAAGUCAGCUGUGAAAGCCCUCGGCUUAACCGAGGAACGGCAACUGAAACUGUUUUUCUUGAGUGCAGAAGAGGAGAGUGGAACUCCAUGUGUAGCGGUGAAAUGCGUAGAUAUAUGGAAGAACACCAGUGGCGAAGGCGGCUCUCUGGUCUGUAGCUGACGCUGAGGUUCGAAAGCAUGGGUAGCGAACAGGAUUAGAUACCCUGGUAGUCCAUGCCGUAAACGAUGAGUGCUAAGUGUUGGGAGGUUUCCGCCUCUCAGUGCUGCAGCUAACGCAUUAAGCACUCCGCCUGGGGAGUACGACCGCAAGGUUAAAACUCAAAGGAAUUGAC
Molecule: ribosomal RNA, 888 nt
Filed under: uncultured bacterium
Lineage: Bacteria
Description: bacterial SSU rRNA
Rfam family: Bacterial small subunit ribosomal RNA
Source: RNAcentral